This 72-nucleotide transfer RNA is filed under the name Camelus bactrianus (Bactrian camel). It matches the Rfam family "tRNA". Rfam says of the family: Transfer RNA (tRNA) molecules are approximately 80 nucleotides in length. Their secondary structure includes four short double-helical elements and three loops (D, anti-codon, and T loops). RNAcentral also lists the same sequence under 2 other names. Lineage: Eukaryota; Metazoa; Chordata; Mammalia; Artiodactyla; Camelidae. The record is from Rfam by way of RNAcentral.
GAGGGUAUAGCUCAGUGGUAGACUGUGAGCUUAGCAUGCAUGAGGUCCUGGGUUCAAUCCUCAGUACCUCCA